This 1261-nucleotide ribosomal RNA is filed under the name uncultured Sebacinales. RNAcentral describes it as "eukaryotic LSU rRNA". The stretch from base 592 to 1261 matches the Rfam family "Eukaryotic large subunit ribosomal RNA", at positions 1 to 649 of the family's 3401-position model. The record is from RNAcentral. Lineage: Eukaryota; Fungi; Basidiomycota; Agaricomycetes; Sebacinales.
AAGUCGUAACAAGGUUUCCGUAGGUGAACCUGCGGAAGGAUCAUUAAUGAAACUUCAAAGUCGGCCAAGGGUUGUUGCUGGUGAUUAUUCACAUGUGCACACCUUUGGUCGCAAAUCCACACACACCUGUGCACCUAUGACUCGAGGUUGUAAUGACUGAGAGUAACUUUUACACACUCUUGUAUGUAAUGGAAUGUCUUUUUGUGCUAUAAUGUACAAUAUAAACGACUUUCAACAACGGAUCUCUUGGCUCUCGCAUCGAUGAAGAACGCAGCGAAAUGCGAUAAGUAAUGUGAAUUGCAGAAUUCAGUGAAUCAUCGAAUCUUUGAGCGCACCUUGCACCCUUUGGUAUUCCGAAGGGUACGCCCGUUUGAGUGUCAUUGUAAUCUCACUUCUACAACUUUAUUGUUGUUUGAAUGUGGACUUGGAUGUUGCCGUUUUAUCACGGCUCGUCUUAAAUGCCUGAGUGUACCCUGUUUUGCAGCGUAUCCAGUGUAAUAAACAUUUCACUAGAGUUGGUCGAAAGACCGCGUUGACUAUAUGGGCUCUAUGCUUCAAACCGUCUGCUCUGUGGACAAUUUCUUGACAAUUUGACCUCAAAUCGGGUGGGACUACCCGCUGAACUUAAGCAUAUCAAUAAGCGGAGGAAAAGAAACUAACAAGGAUUCCCCUAGUAACGGCGAGUGAAGAGGGAAAAGCUCAAAUUUUGAAUCUGGUGUCUUUGACUCCCGAGUUGUAAUCUAGAGAAGUGUUUUCCGUGUCGGACCGUGUACAAGUUCCCUGGAACGGGGCGUCAUAGAGGGUGAGAAUCCCGUAUAUGCCACGGACUACCGAUGCUCUGUGAUACACUCUCAACGAGUCGAGUUGUUUGGGAAUGCAGCUCAAAAUGGGUGGUAAAUUCCAUCUAAAGCUAAAUAUUGGCGAGAGACCGAUAGCGAACAAGUACCGUGAGGGAAAGAUGAAAAGCACUUUGGAAAGAGAGUGAAACAGUACGUGAAAUUGUUGAAAGGGAAGCGUUUGAAGUCAGUCGCAUCUGUUGGGGUUCAGCCUGGCUUUUGCCUGGUGUAUUUCCUUUCCGAUGGGUCAGCAUCAGUUUCGACCGAGGGAAAAAGACAUUUGGAAUGUGGCUGUCUUCGGGCAGUGUUAUAGCCUUGUGUUGUAUGUCUCGGUUGGGACUGAGGAUUGCAGCGCGCCAUAAAUGGCCGGGGGUCGCUCCUCUCGACACGCGCUUAGGAUGCUGGCAUAAUGGCUUUAAGCGACC